Molecule: ribosomal RNA, 115 nt
Filed under: Escherichia coli
Lineage: Bacteria; Pseudomonadati; Pseudomonadota; Gammaproteobacteria; Enterobacterales; Enterobacteriaceae
Also listed under: 19 other names
Source: RNAcentral
CUGGCGGCAGUAGCGCGGUGGUCCCACCUGACCCCAUGCCGAACUCAGAAGUGAAACGCCGUAGCGCCGAUGGUAGUGUGGGGUCUCCCCAUGCGAGAGUAGGGAACUGCCAGAC